Molecule: transfer RNA, 73 nt
Filed under: Mesocricetus auratus (golden hamster)
Lineage: Eukaryota; Metazoa; Chordata; Mammalia; Rodentia; Cricetidae
Rfam family: tRNA
About the family: Transfer RNA (tRNA) molecules are approximately 80 nucleotides in length. Their secondary structure includes four short double-helical elements and three loops (D, anti-codon, and T loops). Further hydrogen bonds mediate the characteristic L-shaped molecular structure. tRNAs have two regions of fundamental functional importance: the anti-codon, which is responsible for specific mRNA codon recognition, and the 3' end, to which the tRNAs corresponding amino acid is attached (by aminoacyl-tRNA synthetases). tRNAs cope with the degeneracy of the genetic code in two manners: having more than one tRNA (with a specific anti-codon) for a particular amino acid; and 'wobble' base-pairing, i.e. permitting non-standard base-pairing at the 3rd anti-codon position.
Source: Rfam by way of RNAcentral
GAGGGUGUGGCUCAGUUGGUAGAAUGCUUGCCUAGCGAGCAUGAAGCCCUGGGUUCAAUCUCCAGCACUCUGA